AUGCCCUCCAUGUCUGUGCCUCAGUUAUCCACUGGGAAGGCCUGGCUCAGCCACAGUUUUGCAGGCUGGGAAGUCCAAGAUCAACGCCUUGGCGUCUGGAGAGGGGCUCUUGCUCGUCCUCACGGGGUGCGAGGGGGAGGGCAGAGGACCCACUCCCACAGGCCCCAGCUGCCAACACUGUUGUGCUGGGGAGACAUCCAAACCAUGGCACGGGCACACCCGGUUUCUUGCUCCUACACACAUCUCUGCAAGGAAGAUCUCUCAACAUCAAAUUUUGAGCACCUGACUUUUGUUUUUUUGAAGAUUAUUUUAUUUGAAAGGCAGAGACUCAAACUUUCUCCCCCACUUCUCCCAGGCUGGAGCCUCCCGGGGAGGGGUGGGGGUGGGGGGAGAUGGCAGGAGAAAGAGGGGGACGCCUCCGGCCACCCCCUUCAGCCUGCACUGAGGAGGAAGUGGGCUCCCGCCCCCUUGUCCCCCAGGACCGGGCCACUUGCUGGGUGGGGGCAGUGGGUUCCAGCUCGGCUCACACUACGAAUGUAAGAACUUCAAACAAAAUUUCUAUUAAGUUUUGUGUCUCAAAAAAAAAAAAAAAAAAAAAGGAAAAAAAGGGGAGGGAGGGAAAGAGGGAGAGAGAGAGAGAGAGAGAGAGAUCUUCCAUGUGCUGGUUCACUCCCCACAUGGCUGCAACAGCUGGGUCAGGCAAGUCAGGAGCCAGGAGCUUCAUCUAGGUCUCCCACAUGGGGGGAGGGACCCAUCUACUUGGGCCAUCUCCUGCUGCUUUCCCAGGCCACUGGCAGGGAGCUGGAUUGGAAGUGGUGCAGCCUGGUCAUGAACGGGUGCCCAUAUGGGAUACCAGCGCUGCAGGCAGUGGCUUACCCCGCCACGCCACAAUGCUGGCCCCUAUGACUGUUCACAUUCCCAGGGAUGUUGAUGAAUUGGUUGGUGACAGGAACGUUCUUUCUCAUGACAGCUACUAUAAAGCAGUGGUCAAGGGCACAGGCUCUGAGGCCAGCAGCCCAGGUUUGAUUUGCAGCUCUGCCGCUUAUAGGCUGUGUGACCUUGGAUGAAUUAUUUAAUCUGCAUUUGUGAUGUGGGCCUGGUAGCAGUCCCGGCCUCCCAGGUCAGCCUUGUCUAUCCACGGGUUCAGGGUCUGAGGAUCCCACCACCCACAGAGUGGGUACCAUGUGGCAAGGCCCAAA
RNAcentral lists this long non-coding RNA (1199 nucleotides) under Oryctolagus cuniculus (rabbit). Its description in RNAcentral is "lncRNA (ENSOCUG00000033667.1)". Lineage: Eukaryota; Metazoa; Chordata; Mammalia; Lagomorpha; Leporidae. The record is from RNAcentral.